RNAcentral lists this unclassified non-coding RNA (141 nucleotides) under plant metagenome. RNAcentral's name for it is "partial contains 5.8S ribosomal RNA, internal transcribed spacer 2, and large subunit ribosomal RNA". The record is from RNAcentral.
CUUAGAACUGUAUUUCUUCUGAAAUUUGAUUCAGCAGACACAGCCUAGGAGUGCUGCUAUCAAAGGAUGGAUUGCCUGAGUUUUGAAGGAUGUUGCUACUUUUUCACUGUACCGGAUUAAGCUGUACAGUGUGGCAGCUCC